Molecule: long non-coding RNA, 2145 nt
Organism: Homo sapiens (human)
Lineage: Eukaryota; Metazoa; Chordata; Mammalia; Primates; Hominidae
Gene: DRAIC
Product: downregulated RNA in cancer, inhibitor of cell invasion and migration
Source: Ensembl
GAUGGCGGCAGAGCAGGGAGGAAACUUUUGCUUGAGUUUCUCUCUUCCAGUGUGGGCACUAUUUGUUAUAGUUAAAAAGUCCCCCAAUUCUUUGACCUUGCUUCCAAAGGUGGAGCCCAUUUCCCCUCCUGCUGAGCGUGGGCCACACUUAGCGACUGGCUUUCAAUGAAGAGAAUGUAACAGAGGUGAAAGUGUGUGACAUUCGAGGAAAGGCCAUAAAAGACAUUGGUGCUUCAGCUUUGCUCUCGCGGCUGUCUGACUCUGGGGGAAGCCAGCCACCACGUCAUGAGGACACCCAAACAGCCUACGGAGAGGCCCACGUAGGGAGGAGCUGAGGCCCCCUGCCAGCAAGCAGCCCUAGCCCGCCAGCUGUGUGAGUGAGCGAGCCUUUUUGGAAGUGCAUCCUCCUGUCCCAGUCCAGCCCUCAGAUGGCUGCAGCCCUGCUAGCAUCUUGACUGCCGCCUCAUGAGGGACCUCAAGCCAGAACCAACAGCCACGUGGUGCCAGAAUUCCUCAUCUGCAGCAGCCGUGUGAGAUCAUAACUGUUUAUUGCCUUUUUAAGCCACUGAGUUUUGGGGUCGUUUGUUACUCAGCAGUAGAUGAUUAAUAUGCUGUCAUGCAGCUGUCUUGGAACCAGGAGGGGCAAGACUGAGGGCAGAAGCCACUGUGGUGAAACUGGCGGAGACAUGGAAUCUGGAUUCCUGGUGAUAUGGAAUAAAAAGGCCUACCUCAUUGGGCUCGUGUGGGUGAGGAGAACUGAAGAGUCUGAGAGCGCGGCACGAGCCAGAGGCUACGGAAAACACUGCCCUCCUACACUCCACCUUGGAGAGACCCAGAAAAGAACAAGCUUCAUUUGUAAAAAAGGAAAACAACUCAGGCAAUGGGGGUGGCUUAAAGGCACUCUACAGUGUGCAGAUGCCUUCCACUUCUUCCAUCUGCCCUGUCUCUCCAAGAACCCCUAUGGCCCCGGUCUCAGAACAGAGCUGAGUGCAGAAAUGAAAAUCUAUGGCUCUGUGUUCCAAAACGAUGAAGAAUUUCAAGAUGGUGGCAGUGGUAAAAUCUUUCUCCAGGAAAAAUCUGUCCUUGGCCCAAUGUGUAAACACUUGCUGAGGAACUUGGAAUAACUUGCAGUGUCUUGCAGUAUUGUGAAACCAGCAACUUGUUCACAAUUCUUCUGAAUUUCUUGGGAAAUUUGAAGUGGAGUACCUGUACCAACAUGAAAUGACACGAAUUUAAGUGACGCUCAACAACGAAAAGCAAAAAGAACCAAAGAGGAAGCAACUGAAACAACAUCUGGAUGUAUUUAAAAAUAUACAAUGCCUCCAAAAUCAGGUGUCAUUAAUGAAAAUUCUGAAGAAAUGCCACCGGACAUAGCCAACGCACCUACGCUGUUGUUAUUCAUUUCCUGCUUUUCACAGAAAACAAUUUUGUUGCAUGGAAGAUCGUGAACUUCAAAGGGCAGAGGGGAAACUGUCCCUUGGCCUCUACCCCUCCAAGGCCCCACUUUUUUGUCAACACUCCUUGGACGCAGCAGAAGUAUGAACAUAAUAUGGUCCUGAAUGAGGCUGAGUCUUUGGGCGCAGAAGACCCGGGUUAAUAAAAAUAGGAAGGUAAGAAAAGAAAAGAAAAAUCAAGACACAUCAUAGGACUAAAUUCCUAUUAUUUAUCCACUCAGGAUUGACCACCCCUUUGGGCCAGAUAGUUGUACCCCCAUGUACCAGGUGGGCACAUGAAGACACAAGAAGUGCUGUGAUGGUUCAUUUUGCACGUCACCUUGCGUGGAGUAUGCCAACUCAUUGUUUGGUCAAACACUAGUCUGGACAUGGUGGUAAAGGUAUUUUUUAGAUGAGAUUAACACUUAAAUCAGUAAAGCAGGUUACCCACCAUACUACGGGUGGGCCCUGUCCAAUCAGUUGAAGGCAUUAAGAACAAAGAUUGAGGUUUCCUAAAGAAGAUGGAAUUCUCCUUGAGACUACAACAUAGAAACCCUAUCUGAGUUUCCAGCCUGUUGCCCUGUGGAAUUCAAACUCAGGACUCCGGUCUAUGACAUUAACCCUCACUUAACUUUUCAGCCUGCCAGCCUGCCCUAUGGAUUUCGGACUUGCCAGCCACACAAUUCCUUAAAAUAAAUCUCUCCGUCUCUGU